GUGGGUUUUGAGAAGAUGCGGUCCGUUGGCUAUAAUGUUGACAGACCACCCGCUCCCUUACUGACGCAGUUGACGCGUUUGAUAGCAGGAUCAUAGUACGGGACCAGUUCCCCUACCAACUGGUCCCGUAACCACUAUGAUCCUGCUAUCAAAGGCGUCAACUACGUCAAUAAGGCAGCGGGUGGUCAAUAUACAUUAUUGCCAACGGACCGGUUCUCCUCAAAUGUCAC
RNAcentral lists this microRNA precursor (230 nucleotides) under Chlamydomonas reinhardtii. RNAcentral describes it as "miR908 stem-loop (cre-MIR908)". Its record names the gene cre-MIR908. Lineage: Eukaryota; Viridiplantae; Chlorophyta; Chlorophyceae; Chlamydomonadales; Chlamydomonadaceae. The record is from miRBase by way of RNAcentral.